Non-coding RNA from Pelobates cultripes (western spadefoot toad), 209 nucleotides. Lineage: Eukaryota; Metazoa; Chordata; Amphibia; Anura; Pelobatidae. The record is from the annotation of a GenBank genome assembly.
GUCAGAAAGAGCAUACACACACCACUCCAAAGUACAUAACACAUACUCCAGAAUAGAUGGGUGUUUCAUGCACGAAUCCACUAUGGCCAAAAUUCUAGACUGCGACAUUAUGCCCGUAGACUGGUCAGACCAUGCACCACUGACACUAGCGCUGGCGAAUUCAUACGAAUAUAAACACAAAAGCCCAUGGCGCCUUAAUGUAAACCUGC